RNAcentral lists this ribosomal RNA (510 nucleotides) under Bacillus thuringiensis. RNAcentral describes it as "bacterial SSU rRNA". It matches the Rfam family "Bacterial small subunit ribosomal RNA", at positions 408 to 908 of the family's 1533-position model. Lineage: Bacteria; Bacillati; Bacillota; Bacilli; Caryophanales; Bacillaceae. The record is from RNAcentral.
AUGAAGGCUUUCGGGUCGUAAAACUCUGUUGUUAGGGAAGAACAAGUGCUAGUUGAAUAAGCUGGCACCUUGACGGUACCUAACCAGAAAGCCACGGCUAACUACGUGCCAGCAGCCGCGGUAAUACGUAGGUGGCAAGCGUUAUCCGGAAUUAUUGGGCGUAAAGCGCGCGCAGGUGGUUUCUUAAGUCUGAUGUGAAAGCCCACGGCUCAACCGUGGAGGGUCAUUGGAAACUGGGAGACUUGAGUGCAGAAGAGGAAAGUGGAAUUCCAUGUGUAGCGGUGAAAUGCGUAGAGAUAUGGAGGAACACCAGUGGCGAAGGCGACUUUCUGGUCUGUAACUGACACUGAGGCGCGAAAGCGUGGGGAGCAAACAGGAUUAGAUACCCUGGUAGUCCACGCCGUAAACGAUGAGUGCUAAGUGUUAGAGGGUUUCCGCCCUUUAGUGCUGAAGUUAACGCAUUAAGCACUCCGCCUGGGGAGUACGGCCGCAAGGCUGAAACUCAAAGAA